UGCAGUCGAGCGGAUGACAGGAGCUUGCUCCUGAAUUCAGCGGCGGACGGGUGAGUAAUGCCUAGGAAUCUGCCUGGUAGUGGGGGACAACGUUUCGAAAGGAACGCUAAUACCGCAUACGUCCUACGGGAGAAAGCAGGGGACCUUCGGGCCUUGCGCUAUCAGAUGAGCCUAGGUCGGAUUAGCUAGUUGGUGAGGUAAUGGCUCACCAAGGCGACGAUCCGUAACUGGUCUGAGAGGAUGAUCAGUCACACUGGAACUGAGACACGGUCCAGACUCCUACGGGAGGCAGCAGUGGGGAAUAUUGGACAAUGGGCGAAAGCCUGAUCCAGCCAUGCCGCGUGUGUGAAGA
Molecule: ribosomal RNA, 352 nt
Filed under: Pseudomonas sp. LT82
Lineage: Bacteria; Pseudomonadati; Pseudomonadota; Gammaproteobacteria; Pseudomonadales; Pseudomonadaceae
Description: bacterial SSU rRNA
Rfam family: Bacterial small subunit ribosomal RNA
Source: RNAcentral